Molecule: unclassified non-coding RNA, 721 nt
Filed under: Athalia rosae (coleseed sawfly)
Lineage: Eukaryota; Metazoa; Arthropoda; Insecta; Hymenoptera; Athaliidae
Description: misc RNA ENSAEAG00005011158.1
Source: RNAcentral
AUUUGGAUUCCUGGGACCAAAAUACGAAGGAAUAUCAUGGAAAACUCCUCCGAAAAAAUUCGGAAUCAUCAUCUCACAUUUUGAGAAAACUCCAAGGCUAUAGGCUUACCGUUUUUUCGGGCUGAAAGGUGAAAUAAUUGCCAGAAUAAUUCCAGGACGCUGAUCCUUUGUAAAAAUGCGCAACGAACACGACGCCGUCGAUCAAAUUGAUCUGACAUCAAAUCCCUACGAUUUGGAUUCCUGGGACCAAAAUACGGAGGAAUAUCAUGGAAAACUCCUUCAAAAACAUUCGGAAUCAUCAUCUCACAUUUUGAGGAAACUCCAAGGCUAUAGGCUUACCGUUUUUUUGGGGCUGAAAGGUGAAAUAAUUGCCAGAAUAAUUCCAGGACGCUGAUCCUUUGUAAAAAUGCGCAACGAACACGACGCCGUCGAUCAAAUUGAUCUGACAUCAAAUCCCUACGAUUUGGAUUCUUGAGACCAAAAUACAUAGAAUUAACAUAGAAAUUCUCAUGGAUGAAAUUCUUAACAGAUACUCCGAACAGAUGUUUCUCGACUUGGUGCCUCAUCACGUGCAUGCCUCCAUUCUCGUGUAAUAAAUCAUACUUUUACAGGGUAUGAUGACGACAUCAGCUAGUCGCAUGCCGGGCUGAUCGUACGCAAUCAUAUGUAUUAAUUCCUACUCCUAUUAAUACAUGUACUACAAUCACCACAAUCACCGCAU